UUGGUGAUGAAAAUGAGACGAAUAUGCAUGUAUUUAGGCCUAUAUGGCUUUCUUUCAUUGGUCGCUAAUAUUCAGAACUUUUUUCUCAAUAUGCAGUAUGUUCUAAUCAGCCUAUCGAGAACAUUUUAAUUAAAGGUACACCAAAUUUAAAGGGAUGGCUUUAUAUAAAUGUACUGAGAACCCUAUUGAAUGAAAACUCCAUGAGAAAAUCUGUUGGCCAGGGUUUUCAGCGGAUUAAUUAAAUAUUUUCAGUGCGAGCAAGGUAUCCGCACCUGCAAAGUCUAGCCUUUUGAGUGACUAAAAUGUGACCAACCUACUCAAAAGGAGUUAUGUAGCAAUAUUUGAAAUUGUGUCUUUUACAUUGGAUAAAAGUAGAGACUCAGAGCUAGAAAAUGGUAUAUCAUACACUGCAGUUGAGGAACAAUGGGAAAGUCAUUCUGCUUUGAAAGUUGAUAAACUUGUAACCUCACUUUUGAGAAAAUGGCCCUUGAAUGUUUUGGGACACCUGGAGAGCUCUUUUUUGUCUACACCCAUUCAGCAUCAUUCACACCCUCUUAAGCUUUAGCCCCACCCAUCUCUUUAAGGAUUUACGUGUGAGGCCAUGUACAAAACAACCAAAGACACCUACGAAUAAGGACUGUGUGAUGAUGGCAUCUCAGGGAAGAAUGGCACAGCAGCUAUUGAUCAGGUUAAGGGAUAGGUUAAGAUCUAUCAUCAGCAGAUUACCCAUUGAUUUGUGUGCAGACAAGCAUUACAGUUUGUUCGAGCUGGGGUCAACCAUUUACAGAAGGAUGAAAGAACACAAAAUGUAUUACAGGGAAUGCUAUUCUGAUAUGUCAGAUGAAGAGUUAGACCAGAAAGUCAGAUACUACAUUGUCAUCUUUGGCGGUAUAGAUGGAUUUUCAAGGAAGAUGUUCUAUCUGGACACUGCGGCCAAUAACAAAGCAGCAACUGCUUUUGGAUACUUUAUGGAUGGAGUCGGCAGAAAUGGAUGGCCUUCAAGCUGCUAGAUGUCAGCUGCUAAGAUUUACACCACAUAAACACUCAGCCAUUUUCGCUGGACUAUCAAGCCUCAGUUGCUGCCAAGUUAUGAUUUCCCUGGGGGUUAUCCUUGCAAUAACCAAGUGAUGAGACACAUAGCCCUCUAUAUUUAAAUGUUUCAGGUACACUCCGAUAGGUGUCUGCGUCACAUACAGUCAGUAACCACUCACAGAGGCACAAACAACUUGCAUUUCUAUAACCUUGGACCCACCUCAGUGUUCACUAUUCAUGGAGGAAGACCACAGGACCACAGAGAUUAGCCCCCCCACCCCACAAAACCUUUUAUUUCUCUCUGUUAGAGUGGAACGCUUAUGGAGAGAUCUUCGGAGUGCUGUGACUAGUCAGUACUACAACUUGCUGCACAGUUUGGAGGAAGAAGGCUACCUUGACCUGUCGAAUUCUAUCCACCUCUUCUUUGUGGGAUA
Molecule: long non-coding RNA, 1466 nt
Filed under: Salmo salar (Atlantic salmon)
Lineage: Eukaryota; Metazoa; Chordata; Actinopteri; Salmoniformes; Salmonidae
Description: lncRNA (ENSSSAG00000111469.1)
Source: RNAcentral